This 497-nucleotide ribosomal RNA is filed under the name uncultured bacterium. RNAcentral describes it as "partial 16S ribosomal RNA". It matches the Rfam family "Bacterial small subunit ribosomal RNA", at positions 28 to 507 of the family's 1533-position model. The record is from RNAcentral.
GAUGAACGCUGGCGGCGUGCCUAAUACAUGCAAGUCGAGCGAACAGACGAGGAGCUUGCUCCUCUGACGUUAGCGGCGGACGGGUGAGUAACACGUGGAUAACCUACCUAUAAGACUGGGAUAACUUCGGGAAACCGGAGCUAAUACCGGAUAAUAUAUUGAACCGCAUGGUUCAAUAGUGAAAGACGGCUUUGCUGUCACUUCUAGAUGGAUCCGCGCCGCAUUAGCUAGUUGGUAAGGUAACGGCUUACCAAGGCAACGAUGCGUAGCCGACCUGAGAGGGUGAUCGGCCACACUGGAACUGAGACACGGUCCAGACUCCUACGGGAGGCAGCAGUAGGGAAUCUUCCGCAAUGGGCGAAAGCCUGACGGAGCAACGCCGCGUGAGUGAUGAAGGUCUUCGGAUCGUAAAACUCUGUUAUUAGGGAAGAACAAAUGUGUAAGUAACUAUGCACGUCUUGACGGUACCUAAUCAGAAAGCCACGGCUAACUACGUG